Molecule: long non-coding RNA, 2331 nt
Organism: Apis cerana (Asiatic honeybee)
Lineage: Eukaryota; Metazoa; Arthropoda; Insecta; Hymenoptera; Apidae
Source: RefSeq, a predicted model, not a curated record
CUUCGCGCAAUAUCUAUUAAAAAUUAAUCAAAAUUAGAAAACUAUUAAGUUGUCAAGUAUGAAAUUUAAUUUUUGAUUUAUAUAAUUUUUAUAUAUAAAUCUGUAUGUUCUUUAUAAUGAUUUUACUCGAUAUUUUUAAUCGAAUUGUCUAUGUAUAUAAUUUUUUGAAAUAAGGACCUUGGAAAUAAGGAAAUCACUAUUCGUGUGUAUAAGAUUGAUGUAACUCUUGGUUUCUAUACGUUGAUUAUUUACAUAGAAUCCAUUUGUAGAAUAGUUGUGUUUACUUUCGAAAUAUUACAUACUAUUUACAUCUAUUUAUAAUUGAUUAUUUUCAAAGAUCUUUCUUGAAACAUCAUUAUUAAUGGUAUCUUUUAGUCUUUCUCUUUGAUUCUUGAACGAAAGAUCGUCAAUCUUACGUUCUACAAAUCAAUGGUUGAAUUACUAAUAUUUGCACAAGUUUCUUCGAAUGUUAAAUUUAUAUUUCCAACAGAUUUUACCGCGCAUUUUCCAAAUUUAAAAUCCUAAAAGAAUUAUGAUUUAAAAAAUUUUUUUAAAUAUUGCAAAUAAUUUUACAAACAAAAUAUAAAAAUUUCGUUAGUUAUAUCUCACUAUAAAUAAAAUUCUUAUGAAAAUAUGUAUGUUGGGUUUAAAAAUAUUAAAAAAUAUCUAAAUUGUAAUUACAAAACACGAGUAUCGGGAUUAUACACGAAUCUUUUUAACGAGAUAAAUAUUUCUGAGAGUUGAAAAAGUGGGAGAACUUUUAUGAUUGCUAUUUUUUCGUUUUAUUUUAAAUAUACAAGAUAUUAAUAUAUAUGUUAAACAUUUUUUUUUAAUUCUAAGAGUUCUUAAAAUUUAUUUAUUAAUGGCUUCACAAGUAUUGUUCGGAUUUAUUUGUUUGAGCUCGAACGCGACUCAUACCCAACGCGACAAGUCUCUAUACUUUGUAAUUACAUUUUUCAUUAAUAACUUAUUAACAAAUUUAAAAAAUUGCUUAAAAUUACCUCAACGAUCAUGGUUAAGCUAUAAUGGAUUUUUUUAUCUACAAUAUUACUGCAUUUCACCUUUAUUUCUUGAUUUUUUUUAUUUACAAUCUACAACUUGCAAAAAUUGUUAUCUUCGAAUAUCUAAUCUAAGAGAUAACGAAAAGUAUCCAGAUUUUACAUUGAAAUUCUCCGUUCUGUAAGUCGAUGAUUUUGAAAAACGAUAAUUCUACGACUAACAAGUUAAAAGAGCAUACGAAUUCAGCGAUUUACGCAUCACGAAUUUAAUCCCUCGAUAAAUGCGUGCACGUGGAGGAGAAAAAGAGACGUCCAAGUACAAUGAAGUAUUCAGAGGCGGCUAAUGUGGAACAGAACAGGAAAGCCAGACGAAGUCGUGAAGUCGGCGAGGAUAAGUAGAAUAUAGCAACGGUGUUAUCCAAAACGGUUCACCGGAUAGACCUUCACCGAUCACGUUUUAGCCGCAGCGUGAACCGGCAAUAUCGAGGGAUCCUUGGUUCGAUCGAACAAUUCUACGUUCUUGCCAACUAAAAUUAGCAUGAUGCACGGAUAUUGGAAAAUAGUUUUGAAAUUCGAAAUUAUUUCAACAGUUUCCUCGAGUUAUAUUUAACAGACAAUGUUUGACGGUACGUUAGAUUUUCUUGUUAAAAUGUAGGAACGAGUUUCUCCGACGAGCUUUAGAUUAAUUUUUUUCUUGACUAACAUUUUCCGUAUUUUACCAAUUUUCGAUUACUUUCAGCUUGCGUUAAAAAAUGUUGUUACAAAUGGAUCUACCUCCUUCUCGAUUCGAUCUACCUUCUAGAUAACUCGUAUACACGUUCGGAGGCAACGUUUGCCGAUUUAGUAAAUCAUCCUGGCGAGAACGUGCUGUUAGAAACCUGCGUGCCAUCUCGCGAAACGAGUCCAGGUCGUUUUAAAAAUACGUGUGUGUAUAUGUACGUGGAAUAUACGUGGAGAAGAACCUCGGCAACGAUUCCACGAUUCUUGUUCCGCACAAAGAAAAUUCGAAAGCACCCUAGACCAACGGGAUCAUGGAAGAAAGCGGAAAGGAAAGUUUCCUUCGUGAGGGGAAGGGAUCGAAGGAUCGUUGGUGCACACGUUUCAAGGGACACGCGUUGGGGAAAAAUGUUUGGAAUUUAGAUAGAAAGGAUGUCAUCGAUAUGUUUUGACACUUUUAUUUAAAUCCACUGAGAAAUUCAUCGAUUUAUAUAAAUGACAUUAAAUAAUAUUUUUGUUGUAUACAUGUAUAUAUAUAUAUAUAUAUAUAUAUAUCAUGAAUAACAAUUUAUCGUAUGGAUGAUGUAAGAAUAAAUAAAUGAAAUAUACAAAUUAA